Molecule: ribosomal RNA, 253 nt
Filed under: uncultured bacterium
Lineage: Bacteria
Description: partial 16S ribosomal RNA
Rfam family: Bacterial small subunit ribosomal RNA
Source: RNAcentral
UACGUAGGGUGCGAGCGUUAAUCGGAAUUACUGGGCGUAAAGCGUGCGCAGGCGGUUCGUUGUGUCCGAUGUGAAAGCCCCGGGCUUAACCUGGGAAUGGCAUUGGAAACUGGCGAGCUUGAGUGCGGCAGAGGGGGGUGGAAUUCCGCGUGUAGCAGUGAAAUGCGUAGAUAUGCGGAGGAACACCGAUGGCGAAGGCAAUCCCCUGGGCCUGCACUGACGCUCAUGCACGAAAGCGUGGGGAGCAAACAGG